This 253-nucleotide ribosomal RNA is filed under the name uncultured bacterium. RNAcentral's name for it is "partial 16S ribosomal RNA". It matches the Rfam family "Bacterial small subunit ribosomal RNA", at positions 524 to 776 of the family's 1533-position model. The record is from RNAcentral.
UACAGAGGUCCCGAGCGUUGUUCGGAUUCACUGGGCGUAAAGGGUGCGUAGGUGGCGAGGUAAGUCGGAUGUGAAAGCUCGGAGCUCAACUCCGAAAUGGCAUUGGAAACUACCUUGCUCGAGGGUUGGAGGGGGGACUGGAAUACUUGGUGUAGCAGUGAAAUGCGUAGAUAUCAAGUGGAACACCAGUGGCGAAGGCGAGUCCCUGGACAACUCCUGACACUGAGGCACGAAAGCUAGUGGAGCAAACAGG